GAACUACUCCCUCCGUCCGAAAAUACUUGUCCCAAAAAUAAAUAUAAUUGAUGUAUCUAUAACUAAAAUAAGUCUAGAUACAUUCAUCUCUAGGACAAGUAUUUUUCGGAUGGAGGAAUAUAAU
Non-coding RNA from Hordeum vulgare subsp. vulgare (domesticated barley), 124 nucleotides. NCBI's taxonomy places the organism in Eukaryota, Viridiplantae, Streptophyta, Magnoliopsida, Poales, Poaceae. The record is from Rfam.